RNAcentral lists this ribosomal RNA (253 nucleotides) under uncultured bacterium. RNAcentral describes it as "partial 16S ribosomal RNA". It matches the Rfam family "Bacterial small subunit ribosomal RNA", at positions 524 to 776 of the family's 1533-position model. The record is from RNAcentral.
UACGAAGGGGGCUAGCGUUGCUCGGAAUCACUGGGCGUAAAGCGCAUGUAGGCGGAUCGUUAAGUCGGGGGUGAAAUCCUGGAGCUCAACUCCAGAACUGCCUUUGAUACUGGCGAUCUUGAGUCCGGGAGAGGUGAGUGGAACUCCGAGUGUAGAGGUGAAAUUCGUAGAUAUUCGCAAGAACACCAGUGGCGAAGGCGGCUCACUGGCCCGGUACUGACGCUGAGGUGCGAAAGCGUGGGGAGCAAACAGG